GGAAGUAAAAGUCGUAACAAGGUUUCCGUAGGUGAACCUGCGGAAGGAUCAUUAUCAAAUUCUGAGGGAGGGAAGAUGGGAAGUGGAGACUGUCGCUGGCUCGAGUCCUCGGGCAUGUGCACGUCUUCCUUGUCGUCGACCUUUCUCUCACACAACACACACCUGUGCACCUGUUGUAGGUCCUCGAAAGAGGAUCUAUGUUUUUCACAUCCACACCCAUCGUAUGUCUAUAGAAUGUAACCAGAACGUCGACCUGUUCAGCAGGCCCGGCGGUCGAUAAAUCAUACAACUUUCAGCAACGGAUCUCUUGGCUCUCGCAUCGAUGAAGAACGCAGCGAAUUGCGAUAAGUAAUGUGAAUUGCAGAUUUUCAGUGAAUCAUCGAAUCUUUGAACGCACCUUGCGCUCCUCGGUAUUCCGAGGAGCAUGCCUGUUUGAGUGUCAUCGAAUUCUCAACCAUGUCUCGAUCUAUUUCAAGGCAUGGCUUGGAGUUGGGGGUUUGCUGGCGGCGAAAAGCUGUCAGCUCUCCUGAAAUGCAUUAGCAAAGGGCGGCAAGUCUGACGUGCACGGCCUUCGACGUGAUAAUGAUCGUCGUGGCUGGAGCGUCUGGACGGUCUGCAUGAAAACGUCCAUGCUUCCAAUCCUACGCCCUACCUAGCCUUUGACUGCCAGUCGGUCGUGAGGCCGGCGAACGUCAGGUGUGCUGGGCUUGGGUCCAUUUCGAAACUUGACCUCAAAUCAGGUAGGACUACCCGCUGAACUUAAGCAUAUCAAUAAGCGGAGGA
Molecule: ribosomal RNA, 783 nt
Filed under: Caloboletus sp. 2 KZ-2017
Lineage: Eukaryota; Fungi; Basidiomycota; Agaricomycetes; Boletales; Boletaceae
Description: eukaryotic LSU rRNA
Rfam family: 5.8S ribosomal RNA (bases 288-442)
Source: RNAcentral